CCUACGGGUGGCAGCAGUGGGGGAUAUUGCACAAUGGGGGGAACCCUGAUGCAGCGACGCCGCGUGGGUGAAGAAGCGCCUCGGCGCGUAAAGCCCUGUCAGCAGGGAAGAAAAUGACGGUAACUGAAGAAGAAGCGCCGGCUAACUACGUGCCAGCAGCCGCGGUAAUACGUAGGGGGCAAGCGUUAUCCGGAUUUACUGGGUGUAAAGGGGGCGCAGACGGCGAGGCAAGCAAGGAGUGAAAGCCCGGGGCUCAACCCCGGGACUGCUCUUGUAAGUGCGUGGCUGGAGUGCAGGAGGGGCAGGCUGAAUUCCUGGUGUAGCGGUGAAAUGCGUAGAUAUCAGGAGGAACACCGGUGGCGAAGGCGGCCUGCUGGACUGCAACUGACGUUGAGGCCCGAAAGCGUGGGGAGCAAACAGGAUUAGAUACCCCAGUAGUC
This 440-nucleotide ribosomal RNA is filed under the name uncultured bacterium. RNAcentral describes it as "partial 16S ribosomal RNA". It matches the Rfam family "Bacterial small subunit ribosomal RNA", at positions 338 to 795 of the family's 1533-position model. The record is from RNAcentral.